CAGGCUCAGGACGAACGCUGGCGGCGUGCCUAAUACAUGCAAGUCGAACGAACUCUGGUAUUGAUUGGUGCUUGCAUCAUGAUUUACAUUUGAGUGAGUGGCGAACUGGUGAGUAACACGUGGGAAACCUGCCCAGAAGCGGGGGAUAACACCUGGAAACAGAUGCUAAUACCGCAUAACAACUUGGACCGCAUGGUCCGAGUUUGAAAGAUGGCUUCGGCUAUCACUUUUGGAUGGUCCCGCGGCGUAUUAGCUAGAUGGUGGGGUAACGGCUCACCAUGGCAAUGAUACGUAGCCGACCUGAGAGGGUAAUCGGCCACAUUGGGACUGAGACACGGCCCAAACUCCUACGGGAGGCAGCAGUAGGGAAUCUUCCACAAUGGACGAAAGUCUGAUGGAGCAACGCCGCGUGAGUGAAGAAGGGUUUCGGCUCGUAAAACUCUGUUGUUAAAGAAGAACAUAUCUGAGAGUAACUGUUCAGGUAUUGACGGUAUUUAACCAGAAAGCCACGGCUAACUACGUGCCAGCAGCCGCGGUAAUACGUAGGUGGCAAGCGUUGUCCGGAUUUAUUGGGCGUAAAGCGAGCGCAGGCGGUUUUUUAAGUCUGAUGUGAAAGCCUUCGGCUCAACCGAAGAAGUGCAUCGGAAACUGGGAAACUUGAGUGCAGAAGAGGACAGUGGAACUCCAUGUGUAGCGGUGAAAUGCGUAGAUAUAUGGAAGAACACCAGUGGCGAAGGCGGCUGUCUGGUCUGUAACUGACGC
RNAcentral lists this ribosomal RNA (762 nucleotides) under Lactiplantibacillus pentosus. RNAcentral describes it as "bacterial SSU rRNA". It matches the Rfam family "Bacterial small subunit ribosomal RNA", at positions 19 to 746 of the family's 1533-position model. Lineage: Bacteria; Bacillati; Bacillota; Bacilli; Lactobacillales; Lactobacillaceae. The record is from RNAcentral.